This is a long non-coding RNA of Bactrocera dorsalis (oriental fruit fly), 703 nucleotides long. RefSeq lists it as uncharacterized. NCBI's taxonomy places the organism in Eukaryota, Metazoa, Arthropoda, Insecta, Diptera, Tephritidae. The transcript is spliced from 2 exons. The record is from RefSeq and is a predicted model, not a curated record.
AAUUUUUAAAUUUGUAGUUUUUUAAUGCAAAGUAUGCGUCUUCUUUUUAUUUGAAACUUUAAAAGUUGUUUGCUGUUAUUAUUGUUUUUAUGCUGUUGUCUGAAAGGUCAUUGCAUUUGCUGUAUUAAAACUGCUUAUUUCAUAUAAAAAAAAAAUUAAAUUUAAAAUAAAAAUUAGAAAAAAAGUUUGCUUUAUUAUAUAAAGGUUUUUUAUAUGUAAUUAAAUUUAUAAAACUUAAUUUAAUUUUUAAAUCGCUAGAAAUUAAUAUUUAUAACAAAACGACUUGUACUUGAGCGGAGUUGCACUACUCAAUUCGAAAAUAUAUAUAGGUUGCUCAGAAAAAUUUCGAUAUCUUUAGAAUCUUCCAACAUAAAGUUUUGAUUCUUCAGAAAAAUUUCGAUUUCUAAAAAAAUUUCUAAAAUUUUGGUUGUUCGGAAAAAUAUCUAUUUUUAGAAAUUUUUCGAAAGUAAAAUUUUGGUUGUUCUAAGAAGUUUCGAUUUUUUGAAAAUUUUCGAAAUUAAAUUUUAUUUGCACAAAAAAAAAUCCAGAAUAAAAGUUUGGGUGUUCAGAAAAAUUUCAAUUUUUAAAAAAUUUGCAAAAAUUAAAUUUUGGCCGUGCAUAAAAAUUCGAUUUUAGAAAAUCUUCAAAAAUAAAAUUUUGGGUGUUCCGAAAAAUUUCGAUUUCUAAACCAUCUUCGAAAAUA